Molecule: ribosomal RNA, 133 nt
Filed under: uncultured bacterium
Lineage: Bacteria
Description: partial 16S ribosomal RNA
Rfam family: Bacterial small subunit ribosomal RNA
Source: RNAcentral
UUCAGAAUCUUGCACAAUGGGCGAAAGCCUGAUGCAGCGAUGCCGCGUGUGCGAAGAAGGCCCUCGGGUCGUAAAGCACUGUCAGAGGGGAAGAUAAUGACGGUACCCUCAAAGGAAGCCACGGCUAAUUACG